GACAGAGGGUGCAAACGUUGUUCGGAAUUACUGGGCGUAAAGCGCGUGUAGGCGGGUGAUCAAGUCAGAUGUGAAAUCCCCAGGCUCAACCUGGGAACUGCAUUUGAAACUGGUCGCCUUGAGUGUUGGAGAGGGAAGCGGAAUUCCUGGUGUAGAGGUGAAAUUCGUAGAUAUCAGGAGGAACACCGGUGGCGAAGGCGGCUUCCUGGACAAUUACUGACGCUGAGACGCGAAAGCGUGGGGAGCAAACAGG
RNAcentral lists this ribosomal RNA (253 nucleotides) under uncultured bacterium. Its description in RNAcentral is "partial 16S ribosomal RNA". It matches the Rfam family "Bacterial small subunit ribosomal RNA", at positions 524 to 776 of the family's 1533-position model. The record is from RNAcentral.